CAUCUCUCCCACUGUCUCUCAGCUCUUUCUUUGGUCUCAAGGCUGGGCAUCUACAAGUGUGCAGGCCUGUGUGUUGCAGCCCAACAAUUGCAUUGAUUGCAGUGAUCAAGGACAAUGUACCAUCAAGUUGACCCUGUUGCUUGCAUUCUCGACAGUGUUCACAUGUGGCUUCAUUUUCUACUAUGAGGCCAAUAACCAGGACAAUUCCCUUCCCCAUCAGUGAAUGCACCAAACCAAGUUUUCCUCCAUUGGUAGAAGAUACAGAAAAAUUCAUUAUGUAAUCCUUCAUAUUCUAUGAUAUAACAUGCAAAAAUUUCUUAGCAAAAUACUUUAUAUACACUAUUGAUUCAAUCGUGCUAGCCCAGGUUGUCUCUACCUUGACCCUGAGAGAUAA
Long non-coding RNA from Bubalus bubalis (water buffalo), 394 nucleotides. RefSeq lists it as uncharacterized. Lineage: Eukaryota; Metazoa; Chordata; Mammalia; Artiodactyla; Bovidae. The record is from RefSeq and is a predicted model, not a curated record. The transcript is spliced from 2 exons.